Molecule: ribosomal RNA, 607 nt
Filed under: uncultured bacterium
Lineage: Bacteria
Description: bacterial SSU rRNA
Rfam family: Bacterial small subunit ribosomal RNA
Source: RNAcentral
CCUACGGGAGGCAGCAGUGGGGAAUAUUGCGCAAUGGGGGAAACCCUGACGCAGCAACGCCGCGUGAGUGAGGAAGGACUUCGGUCUGUAAAGCUCUGUUAAUGAGGAAAAAUGGUAGUUGGUCUAAUAGGCCGAUUAUUUGAUGGUACUCAUAGAGGAAGCACCGGCUAACUUCGUGCCAGCAGCCGCGGUAAUACGAAGGGUGCAAGCGUUGUUCGGAUUUAUUGGGCGUAAAGCGCGCGUAGGCGGACCUGCAAGUAAGAUGUGAAAUCUCGAGGCUCAACCUCGAAACUGCGUCUUAAACUACAGGUCUAGAAUCUCGGAGGGGGAAGGGAAUUUCGCAUGUAGGGGUAAAAUCCGUAGAUAUGCGAAGGAACACCAGAGGCGAAGGCGCCUUCCUGGACGAGUAUUGACGCUGAGGCGCGAAAGCGUGGGGAUCAAACAGGAUUAGAUACCCUGGUAGUCCACGCUGUAAACGAUGAACACUAGGUAUUGGAGGAUUUGACCCCUUCUAGUGCGUGCUACGCGUAGUGUUCGCCGUGGAGUACGGUCGCAGACAAACUACAAGAAGUAGACGCGNGAGAGNGCGAGACGACACGAGGAGAGG